Molecule: long non-coding RNA, 817 nt
Organism: Mauremys mutica (yellowpond turtle)
Lineage: Eukaryota; Metazoa; Chordata; Testudines; Geoemydidae
Exons: 2
Source: RefSeq, a predicted model, not a curated record
CUGCAGAUCAAAUCUCCACUACAGGGUCUGGGCUGUUUUCCAGCCCCGCUCUCUGGAUCGGGCUCUUCCUGGAGAAGGUGCUGAUUGCUGCCUUCCUCCUCUUCCUCUUCCUGAGAAGCAAAGGGUAACCAGCCCCUGGUCCAUUUCCCGGUUUUCUCGCACUGUCGCCACCUGCCAACUUCUGUCUGCAGCCUCUGUCCCCCCAGUGCAGGAAACGAGUCCCUGGAUGGUGGAGCUGCAGUGACCCCUGCUGGCCAAUCAGAUGGAGCCCAGGCUUCGGAAAGCGAAGUUUAAGGGGUGACCGGGUUACAGUCUAUAAGUUCCUACGUGGCUCGGGGAACAAAUAUUUCAUAAUGGGCUCAUCAGUCUGGCAGAUAAAGGUCUGACACACGAUGCAAUGGCUGGAAGUUGAAGCCAGACAAAUGUUGAGAGGAAAUGAAGCCUAAUGGUGAGAGUCAGUAACCAAUGGAACAAUUAGCCAAGAGUCAUGGAUUCCCCAUCUAUGACCAUUUUUAAAUCCAGACUGGCUGUUCCUCUAAAGGAUCUGCUCUAGGGAUUAUCCAGGGGAAGUUCUCUAGCCUAUGCUAUAGGUCAGAUUAGAGGAGAACAACGGUCCCUUCUGGCCUGGGAAUUCAGGAAUCUCUGGGACGUACCCACCACUCAAUCCUGCCUGCUGACGAAAGAGGCACUGGAAGGACUCCUGCUACUCUGGACUCUGUCUGAAGCCUCCUGCCUCUGCUCAGCUCUGCAGAGGCAGGAGAUGGUUGUGUAAUAAUUUCUGUCUGACAAUAAACCACCCUGGCGAUGCUUGAACUCA